AGAAUCCCUGUCUUCUAGAUGAGGAAAGCAAGAUACAAGCUCACCAGCACGUGUGAGGUACAGCCAGUGCUGGAACCCAGGAGCACUCACAGUGAGAGAAAAGCAACUAACAUCAGAGUCUGUGCCAUUGUUCAGCUAUGGAACCAAGAAUUUAAAUUAAAUUCAUUGAGCUCUGCCUGCGCACCACCAGCCCCAGCCAGGAAGAUGUGGCCAGGGCAGCCAGUCGGGCUUGGGACUUGAUCACGCCAUCAGACAGCUGUGCUGAAAAAACUCCUUCCAAGGCACAUGUGAUGUGGGACAAAGGACAUCAAAACCUGCUGCUGGGACCUGAGGCUCCACCAGACAUCUGACUCAAAGCUUUCUGAGGUGCUCAGGGCUAACAAGGAUAAAAGGAAUGAAUCAUCCCUAGGGAUUUCUUAUGGAAGAGAAGACAGAAGAGUGGAUUUCCCAGCCACCUUAAUGACAGCCUCAGUGGGGAGCAGGGACCCUCACUCCUGUGAUCCUGGCACUCCAGAGGCUGAGGUAAGAGAAUCACAAAUGAGAGUCCAGCCUGGAAGAUUUACUGACUUGGUGAGAUUUGAAGUUUGAAAUUCACUCAAGGAAGCCAGGCACGGUGGCACUAACUAAAUGAGAGGCAGUUAACACACGGUCUGACUGUCCCUGCUCCCAGAGGGGCAGAGCCAGCUAGAACCUUCAUUUCCUGCUCUAACAAUUGACAAGGCCUAGGGGAAUCUACAAUGACCCUGCCCAUGGACAUCACCAUUUCCUCUGAUGAACCAUGGGUAAUCUUGGACAUCAUGGGUGAGCCAACUUGAUUGCUUAUAGACACAGGAACAGCUCAUUCUGUUUUGAUUUCCUUCUCUGGAAAACUCUAAGUCUGUAGUCAUAGUUGGGGAACUCUAGUCAGAGGUUCUUUACUCCUCUG
RNAcentral lists this long non-coding RNA (925 nucleotides) under Fukomys damarensis (Damara mole-rat). Its description in RNAcentral is "lncRNA (ENSFDAG00000022541.1)". The record is from RNAcentral. Lineage: Eukaryota; Metazoa; Chordata; Mammalia; Rodentia; Bathyergidae.